This 643-nucleotide long non-coding RNA is filed under the name Mus pahari (shrew mouse). Its description in RNAcentral is "lncRNA (MGP_PahariEiJ_G0006452.1)". Lineage: Eukaryota; Metazoa; Chordata; Mammalia; Rodentia; Muridae. The record is from RNAcentral.
GUAGUUUUCCAGUCAGUAGCUCUAAUCACAUCAGCAAUUAUCCUCCUCAGUAGCCGUCUGUGUAGACAGCACAUUGAAAGAAGGUUCUAGAAACCCAGUGUAUAUAAGACAUCCAAACAGGAGCAUGCGAAGCCGGGUAAGGAUGGCUAGUGUUGGAUGAGAGCCUCAGGGAGGUCACUGUGAGUGGCCGCUACUACAGAUGCCCUGGCCCUCAGAGGAUACUGGACCUUAAAGGGGUUCUUGGUUUAAAAAAAAAGUGUCCAUGUGUAUAAAUGUAUGGUACUCCAUACAGAAGAAUCCUGAGAAAUUGUGUAAUGAAAUUUCACUUUCAUGAUAAAGCUAGCUAAGGAAACUGCACAAGGAAAGCCCUGUAGAGCAGCGGAGUGUGGACUAUGCUCAGGUGGAAGCUGCCUUAUUAGAACGUCUUACUACAGGGGGAUGCUGAAGAUGGACUCCUUGUGCCUUGCAAGACGCUGCUCUUUUUAACAUUGUAAAAUAACACCUGCUCAUUAUGGAAACUUUUUGGCUCCUCUUUUUUUUUUUUUUUUUGCAGUUUUCCUGUUUUUCGCUGGGUUUGCCAGAACCUCAAACAAGCGCCCAGCCUUCUUGUGUAUUUUUCCCCAAGAUAUUAGUAUUCAGAUGA